CAGCCGCCGCGGGAAUACAGAGGGUGCAAGCGUUAAUCGGAUUUACUGGGCGUAAGGGGCGCGUAGGUGGUUAUGUAAGUGAGAUGUGAAAUCCCACCGCUCAACGGUGGAACUGCAAUCGAUACUGCUUGGCUAGAGGAUCGGAGGGGGAAGCGGAAUUCUUGGUGUAGCGGUGAAAUGCGUAGAUAUCAAGAGGAACACCGGUGGCGAAGGCGGCUUCCUGGAAGAUUCCUGACUCUGAAACACGAAAGCCAGGGGAGCGAAUGGGAUUAGAUACCCCCGUAGUCCCUGUCUCUUAUAC
Molecule: ribosomal RNA, 301 nt
Filed under: uncultured bacterium
Lineage: Bacteria
Description: partial 16S ribosomal RNA
Rfam family: Bacterial small subunit ribosomal RNA
Source: RNAcentral